RNAcentral lists this transfer-messenger RNA (387 nucleotides) under Clostridia bacterium. It matches the Rfam family "transfer-messenger RNA". From Rfam's summary of the family: Bacterial tmRNA, also known as 10Sa RNA or SsrA, is named for its dual tRNA and mRNA-like properties. Its role is to liberate the mRNA from a stalled ribosome. To accomplish this part of the tmRNA is used as a reading frame that ends in a translation stop signal. Lineage: Bacteria; Bacillati; Bacillota; Clostridia. The record is from RNAcentral.
CGUAAAGGCUUCGACGGGGACCAUGAGAUAUGAUAAGCGUAGCGGGCUGGCUAAUCCCGUCACAAUGGCUAAACUUAAAUAAUAAACGACAACAAUAAAGUUGCAAUGGCUGCCUAACUAAUUGCCCCUCGGGGCGAUUAGUGGCAGUGCUGUGGUCAAUGCACCACCCGUUCCUCUUAGGAGUACCUCGACCUAAGACUGAGCGUAACCAGAGAGGUGAACUUGAAUUGAGAGUUUUGUCUGUAUCAAUCAAGCAUUAAGGCAAUACCCGAAUGAAAGCCUGUUAAUCGGCGUUUUGUAGGGGAAUCACCAAUAGAUUAACUGCCUACGGAGAAAGUUGUGUCAAGUGAUUUUCGGACAGGGGUUCGACUCCCCUCGAGGACACCA